RNAcentral lists this long non-coding RNA (500 nucleotides) under Apteryx rowi (Okarito brown kiwi). RNAcentral describes it as "lncRNA (ENSARWG00000008998.1)". Lineage: Eukaryota; Metazoa; Chordata; Aves; Apterygiformes; Apterygidae. The record is from RNAcentral.
UCCUCCUCCUCCUGCGGGUGCGUGUGUGUGUAUCUGCGCGUCCCCGCGCGGAAGUCCUUUCCUCCGCGCGUGCGCGGCUGCGCGUGCGCCUGUUCACACGGCUGCGCCGUGCGCGCGCUGCGUGCGGGCGCGUGUGCGUGUGUUUUUGGGUGGAGGACUGCCCAUGUGGGAAGGUGCAGCAGCUUAUGUGGUAAGUAUUGGCAGUAAUGGAUAUAUCUUCCUGUGAGCUACAAAAUCUUGCCACAUUCACCUUGGCUCAUGCGAUCUGAAGAAACCUGAUGCGUCAAGAUAACUUGGUUGUGUGUCCUGGCCCCCCUGUCCAGUUGGGACCUCUAGCUGCUACUGUCAUACAAGCAACUAAGAAAACAUCCUGAGCAAGGAGAAGCUGUAGAAAAGGAACUGGGAAUUAUUGUUACACAUAUGCAUUUUCCUUUUCCUAAUUCAAAAUACACUUAAUAGCACAGUACUAUAUAGGAAUAAAUAACUAGAAGAAUAUUGCA